This 230-nucleotide long non-coding RNA is filed under the name Mytilus galloprovincialis (Mediterranean mussel). Lineage: Eukaryota; Metazoa; Mollusca; Bivalvia; Mytilida; Mytilidae. The record is from RNAcentral.
GUUAUUUUCAACGGGAACAUUAGAAUGAUCUAGAAUAGAACCCAGAUGGAACCAAGAGGCGGAUCCAGGGGGGGGGAGGCCUUCGUGGGAAAAAUUUGGUUGAUUAUAUAGGGAAUCAUUGAAGCAUGACUGGAGCGGGUCCCCCUUCGGAAAAGUUCUGGAUCCGCCACUGUCUAGACAUAUUUACGUAAAUAAGGGAUGAGUAAAGGAAAAAAAAAAAGAAAAAAAAA